This 478-nucleotide ribosomal RNA is filed under the name uncultured bacterium. RNAcentral describes it as "partial 16S ribosomal RNA". It matches the Rfam family "Bacterial small subunit ribosomal RNA", at positions 28 to 507 of the family's 1533-position model. The record is from RNAcentral.
GAUGAACGCUAGCGGCAGGCUUAACACAUGCAAGUCGAGGGGUAUUUAUCUUCGGAUAGAGAGACCGGCGCACGGGUGCGUAACGCGUAUGCAAUCUACCUUUUACAGAGGGAUAGCCCAGAGAAAUUUGGAUUAAUACCUCAUAGUAUAUAGACUCGGCAUCGAGAUUAUAUUAAAGUCACAACGGUAAAAGAUGAGCAUGCGUCCCAUUAGCUAGUUGGUAAGGGAACGGCUUACCAAGGCUACGAUGGGUAGGGGUCCUGAGAGGGAGAUCCCCCACACUGGUACUGAGACACGGCCCAGACUCCUACGGGAGGCAGCAGUGAGGAAUAUUGGACACUGGGCGCAAGCCUGAUCCAGCCAUGCCGCGUGCAGGAUGACGGUCCUAUGGAUUGUAAACUGCUUUUAUACGAGAAGAAACACUGCUACGUGUAGCAGCUUGACGGUAUCGUAAGAAUAAGGAUCGGCUAACUCCGUG